RNAcentral lists this long non-coding RNA (865 nucleotides) under Pan troglodytes (chimpanzee). RNAcentral's name for it is "long non-coding RNA NONPTRT003188". The record is from RNAcentral. Lineage: Eukaryota; Metazoa; Chordata; Mammalia; Primates; Hominidae.
CAGGAAAACCAAAGCCCAGCCAGGAGGCCCCACUGCCCACAGCAUUGUGAAGUGUAGUCGUCAACCGUCCCCUGAGCAGGGGAACUGCAAGAUGACAAGAUGAAAGAUGACAAGGUGAUGCUCCAGCCCUCUCAAGCCAAUAGUGUGGGCAGUUUACACAGACAUUUGGGGAGGUCAGAGCCAGACAGAAAGAGGGAGCCCUGUGCUUCAGAACCCAGGCAAAUCUUUGCACUGAGGGGCCACAGAGGAAACUGGAAAGACCUCGGGUUUCAGCCUCUAAAGAGACAAGGGGCCUCCUCCCCAAGGGGGCUUUGGGGGAGACUAAAUAGCUGUGGUUAGUUGCUUAAACUGGCCUGUAAGGUGGGUGCCUGGGACUUAACUGCUGUUUAACUUACUGUUGUUAGUCUUUCAAGUGGUCACCUCUUGCCUUCUGAAAGGUAGAAGGAACCAGAGCCUGCCCAGAACCCCCAAGAUGGCUGAUGCAUUCUCUGGGACUACACCCCAGCCUGCAGGGCCCCCUCCACUGCCUCUGAGCCGUCUGCCUGGGGCACUUUGCCCAGGAGAGGCUGCCCAGUGUGCCUGUGCCUGCAGGCCCCACUGUCCGGGUACUGGGUACCGGUACUUUCCCAGCUGGUCUAAAACCUUAGUGUAGUGACCAUGCUGUCCAAACUCAAACUGAGAGGAUAAUAGUUUAAUGAAUAUGAAGAUGAUUAUAUGGGGAGCACUGAGCAGACUAUAUGAAAGGGAGUCUAUAAUUAAAGAACUGAGGGGCUUGUGAUUAUCCUGCCUGUGGAGCAUGUUGAGGCCAAAAGAUGUGGGAUCUGGACAGACUCCAAAGAAAACUGCCCCAUUGAAAGUUAUGUGA